UGAAUUUAAGCGCUUGGGCGGUUGUCUGUUUUUUUAGUUAGAUUCUGUAAAUCUUUCUGUUAUCUAUCUGUUAUCUUUUUCGGCUUAUAUAUAGCCCUAGUGCGAAUUAGAAAGGGAUUCUUUUGGCAGAGAGAAACGUCGAGAGCUAUUCCACACCUUGGAGGAGGUUCCUUGGAUGCUUAGGUUCCAUUCAACCAAGUUUAGGGUUAUUUCUUCCAUUCUUUCAUUAUUUUCAUCUAGUUUCACCAUGAUUAUGGUGAACUAAACCUUUGUUGUUUGGGAACAAUGUAAUCUUUUGAAACUCUCAUAUAUUCAAAUUCUUAUUUAUUUCAUAUGCUUGUCAUAUACUUGUUUAUCAAUUGUUGGGUUCUCAUCUGUGUUCAAUGCUUUUAUUGUUUAACUCAUUCAGUAAAAGAUGUUUGUCUUUAUCGAUAUGGGGACGUACGGUAAUGUCAUGAACUGGUGGGAAAUUCCUUGAUUAUGCUAAUAUUGCCUAGGGAUAGAGGUAGGACGGUCAAUUGUAUUUGCUUCAGAUCGCAUUGCAUUAUUGGUUACUAGGGGAGGCUAGGGAUAGCAAGCCGGUAAUUAAUAAUAGGCUCUUUUCACCAAGGGAUUGGGUUAAGGGUAAAUAAGAAAGUGUGCAUGGAAAUUAGAUAAAUAAGUGAAGUAAAUAAGAAGAGUAGAUAUAUGAGAGUGGAUAAGAUGAAAUUGUAAACCACAACAACACCAUUCAUUCAUAGUUUCUCAAAACCAAUUGAAUCAACUGCAUUGCAUGUUUAUUUUUGUUCUUU
Molecule: long non-coding RNA, 791 nt
Filed under: Vigna radiata
Lineage: Eukaryota; Viridiplantae; Streptophyta; Magnoliopsida; Fabales; Fabaceae
Description: long non-coding RNA (VRAD_LNC008420)
Source: RNAcentral